This 390-nucleotide RNase P RNA is filed under the name Microbacterium sp. RNAcentral describes it as "RNase P RNA component class A". It matches the Rfam family "Bacterial RNase P class A". From Rfam's summary of the family: Ribonuclease P (RNase P) is a ubiquitous endoribonuclease, found in archaea, bacteria and eukarya as well as chloroplasts and mitochondria. The record is from RNAcentral. Lineage: Bacteria; Bacillati; Actinomycetota; Actinomycetes; Micrococcales; Microbacteriaceae.
UGAGCUGGCCGGGCGGCCGCGAGGACCGGGUGACCGGUCCCCGAGGAAGGUCCGGGCUCCACAGGGCAAGGUGGUGGGUAACGCCCACCCGGGGUGACCCGCGGGACAGUGCCACAGAGAACAGACCGCCUCCCCGGUCCGGUUCGCCGGUCGGGGCGGGCAGGGCGAAACGGUGGUGCAAGAGACCACCAGCGCACCGGGCGACCGGUGCGGCUAGGUAAACCCCACCCGGAGCAAGGCCAGACAGGGAGCGUUCGAGGGCUGCCCGCCCGAGCUCCCGGGUAGGCCGCUGGAGCGGCGCGGCAACGCGUCGCCGAGAGAGAUGACCGUCGAAGGGAUGCCCCGAGAGGGGCCCCGGCACAGAACCCGGCGUACAGGCCGGCCCGUUCC